AUGGAUCACAACCCGGGGAUCAUUUGCUGGAACGUGAGAGGGCUUAAUAACCCUGCCAAGAGGAAAGUAGUUAGGGAGUUUCUUUCUUCGCUUAGAGUAAACCUAGUCUGCUUACAAGAGACCAAGCUCGAGACUAUAAACCAGUUUGAUGUUAUGCAAUGUUUAGGGCCAUCCCUUGAUGGCUUUGCAUACUUGCCAGCUGUGGAAAUGCGUGGUGGUAUCUUAUUGGGUUGGGACACGACGCGUCUAUCUGUGGACUGCAUCCAACUCGAUCCAAACUUCCUCACGGGCAAAGUCCGUCAAAUUGAUGGCAAUGAUUGGUGGAUCUCGGGGGUCUAUGCGCCGCAAGGUGAUGAGCUCAAAACGCAAUUCCUCCAAGAUCUUUAUGGCAGGAGGCUGCUUUGUCCAGGGACUUGGAUGUGCCUUGGCGACCAACAUGAUUCUCAGGGGAUCCGAAAAGAGCAAUCAGAAUAUCAGUAG
RNAcentral lists this ribosomal RNA (480 nucleotides) under Triticum aestivum (bread wheat). RNAcentral's name for it is "partial small subunit ribosomal RNA". The record is from RNAcentral. Lineage: Eukaryota; Viridiplantae; Streptophyta; Magnoliopsida; Poales; Poaceae.